UGUCAUAUCAUUUGCUAAUAUUUUCUCCCAUUCUAUAUAUUGUCUUUUCAUUUUGUCAAUGAUUUCCUCUGCUGUGCAAAAGGUCUUACAUUUGACUAGGUCCCACUUUCUUAUUUUUGUUUUUUUUAUUUUGACUUAGGAGGCAAAUCCAGGAAAAAUUUCUAUGAUUUAUAUCAAAGAAUAUUCUGUCUGUUUUCUUCUAAAAGUUUUCAGAUUUAAGGUCUUUCAUUUAGAACUUUAAUCCAUUUUGAGUCUAUUUUUUUUUCAUGGGUUAAUUUUGUUUAAUUUUCUUCAUCAUAUAUUAAAUUAUUCAGAUUCUAGGCUCCCAUUUUGUCCAUUGGUAUUUACAGGGAAUUGGUUCCAGGAGCUCCCUCAUAUAUCAAAAUCCACUGAUGCUCAAGUCCCACGUCAGAGUUUCCACACCACUGGAUUUAACCAACUGUAGUUUGUGUUGCACUAUACAUACUUAUUGAAAAAAUUUUGCGGAUCCUUACAAUUCAAACUCAUGUUGUUUAAGGGUCAGCUGUAUAUCUCUAUGUCUCUAUAUUAUGUGUGUAUUAUCUAUCUGAAAUAUCAUGCAGGUAACAUGAAGGAUAUCCUCCUGUACAUUACCUGAAAGAUAUUUUAUAGUUUUAUUUUUCUAUAUUUCUAUAGAAAUAUUCCACUUAUUAAUUUGUUUUAAUUUAAAUUUAAAAAUUUUUAUAGUGUACAUAUUCUUUUCUUUCCCUAGCAUUCUAGAUUUAAAAAAAAUCAUCUUCAAAUAAGGAAAUUUCCAACAUUUUCACAUAGGUUGUAUGUACCUCCUUUGUUGCUCUCAUUGUUCAUGCAUUGACCAUUCUGUCCCGAAUAAUUUUAAAGAGUAAUAGUAUCACUGGUCAUAAAUCAUGACUAUUAAAUUACCAUUUAAGAUUAUAUUGGCAAGUUGUUUCUGAUAGAUUAUCUUCAACAUAUUAAGGAUAUAUGUUUCUCUACUGGCUUAAUAACAUUCCAGUUAUUUAAAUGAUACUUGUCUGCUAUUAAAAUUUCAAUUUUUACAGAGAGUAAAAUAUUUGUAAUCUUUCCCCAAAGUGGUAUACACAUUGCUAACCAAAUAGGGAUUACAGAGACAAGUUUACAGAUGAAGUGAGAAAUUGACCAAGUGUAGAUCAACUGAAAGACAACUGGAGUUAGGUCCUGGUAAGACCUAAAAUUUUGGUCUUAUUAAUUUGGCUUUUAUUUUAUGUUGAAAAUUUGUUUCAAUAUAAUACUAUGCUGAGAUGAAUGAUUUGGGGUAUAUUUGAAGUUAAAGUAAGAUUUCUGAGCAGUACAAAUGAAAAAAUAAAAUUAUUAAUCCUCAUUUUUGUGCCAGGACUAUGCUGUUUUGAUUACUGUAGCUUUGUAGUAUAAUCUUAAGUCAGGGUUGGGAAUACCUCCAGUUUUAUUCUUUUUUUCCUUAAGAUUGAUUUGGCAAUUUGGUUCUUUUGUGGUUCCAUAUAAAUUUUAAGUUAAUUUUUUCUAGUUCUAUGAAAAAUUUCAUAGAUACUUUUGAUAGGGAUUGCAUUAAAUCUAUAAAUUGCUUUGGGUGGUAUGGCCAUUUUAACAGUAUUAAUUCUUCCAGUCCAAGAUAUUAGAUAGUUUUCCAUUUCUUUGUAUCAUUUUCAAUUUCCUCUAUCAAUAUUUCAUAGUUUUCAAAGUAUAGGUCUUUCACAGAUAAUUAUACUACCAAGUUUUAAAAGGAAAGGGUUUCAUAGAGGCAAAACAUAGGGGCACUUAUAGCCAGACUUGACUGAUGUUCCAGUUAUUUUCUGCUGUGUAACAAACAAUCCCAAAACUGUCACUUAGAACAAGAGCCAUCUAUUUAGAUUUCCUUCAUUUUUAGGUCAGGAAUUUGGGCAAGGGUCAACUAGGUGGCAUAUGGUAUUGGUGGAGGUGACCAGGCAGUAUUCAGCUGGGAAAUGGAUUAGUCUGAAAGAUCAAAAAUGACCUGAUUGACUUCUGUUAUCUUGCUGGGGAUAACAGGACUCUAUUGGUCAAAGCAGUCACAGUCUUCUCAGGUUCAAAGGGAGACAUUUUAGAUACCUUCUUUUAGUAGGAGUGCAAAAGAAUCUGCAGCUAUAUUUUAAAACUGCCACAGUCAUCUCUAUUACCAAAAGUUGUUUAAAUUUCUCAUAUAUAUGAAAUUUAUUCACUUCCUCCCCCUUUAAUCUCAAAUACAACAAGAGGUGUGUGGGUGUCUUUCCUUCUUAGUCUCUCCACCCAUUGGUUUCAGGCCUGAGGCCCAGCAUUAGACCCAGAAAUAGAUACAUCUCCUCAGGUCCAGUUCUCUAGGUAUGGUUCCUCUCAAUCUAAAGGGGCAUUUUCCCAUCCUCGCCCCCAUGGUGGUGAGAGGGAAUAGGAAAACUACCACAUACAGUCCUGUUCAAAGGAGGACAAUAGAAGGCACACAGCAGGCACUGGUUCAUAGCAAGUCUGAAAUUCAAUCAAGAAGGCAUUGUCUAUUCUUCAGUUAGGCCUUAAUCUCGCUCCUAGGAAUUCUCCAUGACUCUCAGGUCCAUUCUCUGCUCUCUUGGUUCCACCCCUGAGUCAUUCCAACCUAUGUUCAGCUGAGUAAUUUUCUUAGUGAGCUUCUUGCUCAUAGAAAAGACAUCUUUUCUUUUUGUACUGUUCCUGUCCCUUUCAGUUCAUACUGAUACAGUUUCUUUUAAAACUUCCUGGUUUUCUUAUAGAACAAUUAAUAAAAUUCGCUUCACUAAACAAAAUGUCACAGUUAUAAAUCUCUGAAAGAUUAGUCUUCUCAGGAGACCCCAUUGUGGCUUAGUGGGUCAAGAAUCUGACUAGUAUUCAUGACACUGUGGGUUUGAUCCCUGGCCUCAGUCAGUGGGUUAAGGAUCUGGCAUUGCUGCAAGCUGUGGCAUAGGUCACAGAUGUGGCUUGGAUCUGACAUUGCUGCGGCUGUGGCAUAGGCUGGCAGUUGCAGCUGUGAUUAUACCUUAAGCCUGGAAAAUUCCAUAUGCCAAAGGUGUGGCCCUAAAAAGAAAAAAAGGAGGGGGGAAGAAAGGGUAGUCGUCUUAAUUUGGGGCUACCUGUGAGGCUAUUGUGGGGAAAUGCCCCCAAGAGUCUUAGAAACACAAUACUGUACCUAAGACAGCCUCUGAGACACAUCCUUAAGAUACACAGAGUUUUUUAUUCAACUAAAAGGAUAUGUGAGUCAUGACACUAGGUCGUGUUGUGGUAUUCAUCUAAAGGAUGAGCUAGGAUGUAGAAUCCCAGACACCGUCGUUCACUUGCUGAUGCCUUGGUGGAAAUUUCUGAAGGUUAGGCUUAGCAGGGACUAUUGUCUCAAACACCUAUACAUGGCCUUGCCAUUAUAGAGGCUUCAAAGUAGCCAUAUUUCUUACAUGGAAUAUCAGGGUUCCAAGAGAAUGUAUUCCAGAAAAUAAUGUAGAAAUGCAUGGCCUUUUAUGACCUAAACUCACAAGUCACAUAGUGUCACUCCCACUGUUUUCUACUGGUAGAAGCAGUCAAAAAACACUCAGAUGUAAAUGGAAGGGACUUAGAUAUGUUUAAAGACUUGUUUAAAACCACCACAGGGGUCCACAAAGAAAAACUUCCACAGAAAAAGGUAUCUGACCUGAGAUUUAAAAAGAACUGGAAUUAGGUGAAGGAAUGGGGAUGAAGGGGGGAAGACGUUCAAGGCAGAGAUGAAGCCAGAGGUAACGCGUAGCUCUAUCCUGAGCCCUUCAAGAGCCCUGAGGUCCACAGUGACAAAGUUAAGGGGUUUGCCUUAUGUUCUGAGGGCAUCAAGAACCUAGUAAAGGGUCAGAGUCACACAAGUGGUAUUUGUUUAUGGGUGGUUCACAAGUACCUAACAGAGAAGCUGCAUUGUACAUACAUAGUAAAUAUUUUUGAGUGAACUGAUUAACAUAUGAAUUUCAGGAAGAUCACUUUGGUGCAGUACAGUGAAUGUUUUAGAAAAGAGCAGGACUGCAAGUAGGGAGAUUAGUUUAGAAGUCUCUAGAGGCAUUCCAGGUAAGAGUUGUUGGAGUACCCUAACUCAGCUGUGGAUCUCAGGUUGGAAAGAAUAGGAUGAAAACAAGCCCAAAAACCUACUGUUGUAUUUGUCAAUAUUAUAUUAUAGUUAUUUUCUUAUAGGUCCACUCUUAUUAGGAGUGGCUACAUUCUUGAAUUUUGGAUGAGAAAGAUGGAGUGGAGAUUAGAAAGUAGAAGACUUGAGGAAAUGUUGAUUAGAUUGAAAAACACUGGAGCUUGUUUGUAAGUUUAGAAGAAAGAGUUAGAUGGAAGUGACAGAGAGAAGAUCCAGGAAAGAGGGACUGAAUUAUGGACAAGGUGCACAAGUGCCUUGAAGCUGUUUAAUAGCGUGUGUGUGUGUGUGUGUGUGUGUGUGUGUGUGUGUGUGUGUGGCACUUAGCUCUACCCUAGAGAACCCUUCCUAAGCUGCAAAGAGCACCACGAGCUGACAGGAGAUCUAGAACCUGAAGCUCAGACGCCAAUCUAUUCCAGCAGCCACUAUUCCCUAAAUAUUUUCCUCAAGGAGAGAAAUCACUGGGUUUAAAAAAAGAGUAACGUUCAAGAGAAAGUAUAGCACGGUUCUUUAAAAGGCAGUUUUUCUUUCACUUUAAUAAGCUCUUGCAAUAUUAAAACUUCUGAUCUUAAUCAAACUAAAAGCAUUAAUCACCACAUACCUCCUUCUGUCCUUGGCUCUCUCCUGGUCUUACUCCAGACCUAGUCACAAGGCUGUAUGUCUGGAUGGUGAACAUGAGUAACUCAAAUACAUCAACAUAUUUAUCCAAUUAAGAAACAAGUAUCUGGAGUUCCCACUGUGGCACAUGGGUUAAUGAUCUUGCUUGCCUAUGUAGUGGCAGUGGUUUGAUCCUGGCCCAGCAGAGUGGGUUAAAUAUCCUUCACUGCUGCAGCUGUGGCAUAUGUCAGAGUUGUGGUACAGAUUCAAUCCCUGGCCAGGGAACCUCCAUAU
This 4972-nucleotide long non-coding RNA is filed under the name Sus scrofa (pig). RNAcentral's name for it is "lncRNA (ENSSSCG00040001010.1)". Lineage: Eukaryota; Metazoa; Chordata; Mammalia; Artiodactyla; Suidae. The record is from RNAcentral.